CCACUCCCGAACUGUAUAAAGAGGUUUUUCGAAGGCUCUCGGGAAGAGGAUGGAGUUAGCCUUAGGCCAGGUAGAAUAGACACCCUUCCCCCACAUACACCUAAUCAAAGUCUGGGCCAAAGGGGGAGGGGGCUGGAAGAACAGGUAUCUGGAGGGUGCUGAAAAGGGGAAUGGAGGAGGGUUUUGCUCUUUCUUGCCUCUUGCAGGACUGCCCUUGGGGAGAAAGGGACGGGAGGAAGAUGGCACAAUCUUAUAGGGUGGAGCCUUUGAGAUGGCAGGGAUCUAUGAGCACCAGCAGAAUAUAUGCUGUGGGUGCUCCGUGCGAUGUGCCACGGUCACCCGGACUAGGGUUAAAGGAGAAGGUAGAUAGAGCUGGAUAGGGCUGAGGCAGAGGAGUAGUGGGAAGUAGGCAAAGAAGGGGCCCGGAUUUCCUCAACUUCACCCCCAUGCUCUAUUUUGGGACAUCCCCUCCCCCAAUAGGCACAUAGGAACUAUUGGAAGUCAGAUUUUGCUUUCUUUAAAUUGAGUGGGGGGUGUUGAAAAUGAGAGGAGUUUUGAAAUCUCAGGGGAAAAAAAUUGUUCCUUUCCCACACUCAGAGUGGGUUUGUUCUGAAAUUUUCCUUUGAUCAUGAUGAACUUGAAUCAAAGUCACUCAAGCACAUGAAACCUGGGAAGCUGGGGAGCGGGACAUUUUGGUUCCCCUCUAAAGAAGCUGCUGGGCCCAAGGGGCUCUGCCUCUGGCCCCAAACAGAAGUGGUUUCUUGGGUAAUCUGCCUCAAAGAAGAUUGGGGAGAGGGGGCUCCCAGAAGCUUUGGAAUUGGGUAGUCCUUUUGGCAGGUCUCUGGCUGUGCCCCAAGAACCCACACCUGCUGGGGGAUCAGAGUGCCGGGGACCAUGGUGGGUGACCCUUGUGGAGACAGGAGCUGGAGAAGUGGGGGCUGGUUGGGAAGGAAGGGAGGAAAGUUGGGUGGGGGAGGACUGGGGCAGGACUGGAGCUGGGGUGGCUGGAGUAGCUGGGCCCUCCUCUCUCUCUCCCCUGUCAUUAUGGCUCCUCUGCAGUGUAUUUAUAGUGCCCUGAGGUUUACUUAAAGGAACACGCCCUCCAAAAUCUGCUAUAAAAAGGAAAAAUGGCCCCUUAUUCCAAAGCUCACGUAGCACUUUUAAAGAGACAGGGGCCUUUUUAUAAUCUACCCUGGCCAGGGAAAAAAAAAAAUUUUAAAUGAGGAGUAGGGAAGCCAACUUAUUCAGUCAGAAAGCUUCUAUCACUUAGUUUUUCUGUCACAAUUUUCUUAGCUUCCUCAUUCUCCUAGCUCUGGAGACAUGCUGAUAAACAGAUACACAAAGUAACACUGACAUAGCUGGGUGAACACAGACAGACCUAGACAUAUAGACCCAGAGUCACACGGAGCUACACAUAAGGAUUCCAUCAGUUCUGCACAACAACAUAGUCAUACAGACUUAACAUUCAUAUCCACAAAGAAGCAUUUAUUAAGCAUUUGUGCUGCCAGAAGUGCUGGGGAUAACAAAGGCCAAAUUAAAGAGACAUCCUGCCUUCAAGAAGCUUCCAUUGGAUCCUGUGUAUACAGAAAGAAAAGAGAAAGUAAUUGAAGGAGAGAGAGCACUGCCCAGGGAGAGAAGUAUUCUAGAGCUGCUGAGACUUAAGGGGCAGUUGGCAAAAGGGCAUUAAUUCUGGAAUUUGAAUGGGGAGAUAACCUGGGUAAUAACAGAUUUGAAGAAGAGCUAGUAGGCUUGUCUGAUUGGGAGGUAGAGUGCACUGAGGCUGAAAGGUAAACUGAGUCACACAGUGACAUGUGACAUGCAUGUCAUUUGUGGCCAUCCUAUAGACAUGGAAACUCAUACAGACACAUUUAAAUAUAAUCACACAUAGAAAAACAUACAGACACUGAGACCCUCAUUUAGUGACAUACACAUAGAUCUCCACAAUGACAUAUAAUGACACACAAAGACAUAUAAUUGUAAAUACUUAAAUGUUGAUACAUAGUUGUAAAUAAAGACAUGGGCACCUACUCGUGGUUCCAUAUGUGGAUUCGCUGACCACUGACCACAAAAAUACUCCUUAAAAUAAUUAGGCUAAGAGCACUGGUGCCUCAGAUACAUCCCCUCACAGUUCCACAACUCCAUGUCUCAUCCCCCCACGCCUCAAGUAAUCACUGAGGAUUCAGAAGAGGUUUCCCCCCCCCCACCCCCCACCCUAAUUGAACUUCCAGGAGGAACUACCCAAAAGAAAACCUCAAGGAAGAAGCUGGGGGUGAGGGAGGGAGUAUAGGGAAAGAGAACUGAAGGAGUACCAGGUGGGCUUUCUUCCAUCACCCCUCCAAACCCAGGGCCUUCCCCCUCGGGGAGUCCCAGUAAUUCCAGCCAGCCUCUGUUUCCCUCCUGUUCUGUGUCAUGGAAAAAUCCCCCCAUCUCCCCAAGACGCUCUCCUCACUCCCAUCCUAGGACAUUUCUAAGAAAGAUGAACAGAGUCUGGUCUAUCCUUUGGAAUUGAGUAUGAGAUCUUGCCUUCACUUCCAUAUCCACUCUAGCCCCCCUUGUGAAAUUCAGAGGGAUGAAAGGCAGAUAGUGGGAGUGGGGCUGGGGCCUGGCAGGGGCUGCUGGUAACCUGAGAGCCUGACCAGGAGCAGGUGGCAAGGAAAUGAGAAGCCGCCAGCUCUGUCUAGACAGCCACGGACCAUUAACAGCUCUUCCCCACCAGACCUCCCCCCUCCUCAGCACACACAUGGGGGCAACCCUGGAACUGGCCCUCCCCUGUCACUCCCCCCACAAUGGGCUCUUUGUCUUCCUCCAGACUCUCUUACACACACUUAGGCUCAGACAUAUACAGGUACACACACACACACAGAGUAUACAGACCUACAGACAGAGGCACAAACAUAAUUCUUCACAGACACACACAAAAUACUUUUGCUCCGUCUCACAGCAAGAUGCCAGACACCAUCUAUUGCCUGAAUCUCUCAGUAUGCCUCUGACCUCUGCCCUUUUCUCCCAGGCCCUUCCCCCACCUUGCUCUUCAACUUGGUGGCUGAGCGGCCAUCAGCUCCGUUCCAUCUGUGGCCUCAAGCACAGCCAUGUUUCUUACUCUCACCUCUGACCCCCGAUCCCAAGCCCUCACCAGCUGCCCCCUGAAGCCUCUGUGCUCCUGUGGCCCCCUUCUAUUCACACCAGGACCUAAAAUUGGUCUUUGACCCCGAGUGGACUCCCUGGCCCUCAGAACGCUGAAAUGAGCUCACAAAGGGCCCUCCCCCUUCCUGCCCCACGCCUGAGAUUGGGGGCCUCUUUUACCAACCUCAGGGGAGACAGAUUUCACAACAGGCUGGAGGGGGGGAUAUUCCCAAGUAAUUUCUGUUCCCCACCCCGGCCAAUGCUCUCCUCCUUCUUCCCCUGUUAUUGCCCCAAUCUGAAGCCAAAGGGGUGUGUGUAUAUACAGAUAUGUAUGUGUGUGUGUAUUGAGUGGGGGUGAGAGGGGAUAUACAUAUUCUGCUUGGGGGCAAGAGAGGACAGACCCCUGGGAAGCUGGGGCAGGUAGGGAGGGAGUGAUGGGGAGGAAGCAGAAUUACUGGGAAAGAGACUCAGUUCUGGGCUUCAAAGCUGAACAGACUGGACAGCCCUACACAGACACAGAGACACAGUCAGAUGCAAGUGGAGAGCCAGACAGCUGUAGGGGACAGAUGGACCUCUAACUUUUUUGCCAUGUGGCACAGAAGCAGAAGCACAGAAAGGUAGGCUUCCCACCCCCACUCCCACCCCCAAUCCCUCCUACGUUGUCAGUGGCAUCCAGCCACCCACUCCAGCCUGCCCACACAGUGGCCCUCUCUGAGAAUCCAAGACCACAGUCUGGCCAUGGGCCUGUCAGAAAGGAGGCAGACAAACAGCUCCAGCCCCUUCCCCCCCAGACUGGAUCAUUAUCCAUGGGCAGGGAAUUCCCUGUCUCUUGCCUUUCCAAGAACCCCUUGAAGGUCCCUGACCAGGGAACCUCAUCCUUCAAACCUUUCAGAGUUGAAAAGAAGGGAAGAGAGAAGCCUGAAAAGGCCUCCGUCUCCCAGCUCCCCAGUUCCCCUGUGUCUUCUGUUCCUCCUUCCUCUUGGGCCCCCGCCCUCUCAGGCUUCCCCAGUCUUCCUCAUUCUCUCAGCCCCAUCCCCCAGAGGGUCAAGGCAGGCCAGAGUUGCCUGGAAGGACCAGGGUAAAGGGAGCCUGCCCCUUGCUCAGGGCCUGCUUUGCUAUCCCAGCCCUUAUCUUUGCUCCUGGGAAGGUUCCCCUCUCUUCUUCCUUUGUAUCUCCAUCCCUUUCCCCACCUUGUUUAUCUCUUUGCUAUAUCAUUAUGGGGCUCCCCCAGCUGUUCCCCUUGGCUCACAGUGUCUGGGGGCUGGCCUCCUCCACCAAGUCCCAGAUAAAGAAUCUCUCCUUCCUUUCUGCCUCCGAGAUCCUGCCUGUGCCAGUACUGGGACCACUCCUCCCUUCCCCCAGCUCUCUCUAGAAAAAGUCUAAUACUCCAGAGGCCAUUUUCCAUGAAUAAAGAGAGAUCCCUGGAUCCUGGAAGACCUUCGUUUUAUAGAUGACCAGUUCUCUAAUCAGAAUUCUUUUCAUUACCUUCCGUUGGGGCCCUAAGGGAAAGGAAGUCAGCCUUGGGAUCCUAAAUUGGUAGGCUCUGUUAAAACCAGACAACAAAGGAGAAAAGGGAAUGGGAAGGAUUAGGGGCCAGAGCCAUGAAAAGAACUGGAGAGUUCUAGGUUCCACCCGGAGUAUGAGACAGAAUGGAGACUCAAGCCAUAAAAAGGGGCCCAAACGGUGCCAGGCUGGACACUUGAGUCCUUUUAGCUUUGAAGAGGGAGUGGGUACCUGUGCCAUCUAGUGUUCUAAACUAGAGCCUGCUCUUGGUAUUAAGUCUGAAAGGCUUGAGGAAUAAUGGUCCGUGACCCUCUAAGGGUCUAAUGGACGGACCCUCUAAGGAAAGAAGGAGGUGGUUUGGGAAAAGAAAUCCGACAGCAGGUCUCAAAUCUGCCUGUUGGGAAGCCAAGGCUCAGUCUUUCCCUGAGUUCACCCUCUGGAGGAAAGCUCUGGGAAAAUGGCUUCCAACUGGGACUGAAUUUGUAGAUGACAGAGCCAGUCUCUUUGGACCAACAUUUGAUUUCCCUUCAGAAAUACAUAACCUAUAUCACUAGGUUGUUAUGAAGUUCAAAUGAGGACACUGUUGAGAUAGAAAGGGAAGACCUGUUAAAAACCAGUGUCUUUUCCCCUGUACUCUUAGUUCUCGUCCCAGACUUGUUCUGAGGUUCUUUAAAAUACGAAGUGACUAAUCCAUCUCCCUCUCAGCGCCUGAGGGUGGAAUGGUCCGUAAGGACCUCGUUAGAGGGCUGCUCCCUUGGGAGUAUUCUUGGAGCUGUUUGGAAAAUGUGGACGUCCCACUGCGCCUCCCCACCCAUGCCCGGGAGGCCCUCUGUGGGCAGCUCAGAGUGGAGCAAUGGAUCUCACACCUUCAUGGCUUCCCCUUCUGUCCACCAGCUCUGCCCUUGCUCCUGCUCACUGUGUGGGGUCCCUGGAACACCCAGACACCACACAUAUCAUAACCCAAGGGCCCCCCCAACUCUGGAUCAUGUUUCCUACCACUUCUGUGAAUUGCUCUAAGCUCUUUGUUCCCCAAUAUGUAAAAAGAAAGAAUUAGACCUAAAGACUUUAUUCACAUAGUAAGUGCUUACUGGGUUUGAAGCUGGGCCCUCCCACAUAUAACUCCUAUCCAUAGAGUGACACAGAGACAAGGGCAAAUUAACACCUUGCUCAGAUGAUCCCCAGCAUCCAUUACCCCACACUCCUGGAGAGACACAGGUAUGAAUGCAAUUGAAGCUACACAGAACUCCCUACCCCCCUACACAUGAACACAGAACACAACAGCUGGGCAGGCAGGAAAUGUAAUUCCAGAGUUAGUGGGCAGAAAGGGAUUGAGGGGUUGGCAGUGAUCUGAAGAAACACAGACAACCCAGAGAAGGAUCCCAUCUGGGCAAGGGGCGGGAGAGAUUAGGAAGGGAAAUGCUGCUGGAACAAGGCCUAAUUCCUUAUUCUCUGAGAUCACUCAUCCUAAGGGAAUGGAGAAGGGAAGGUAAAUGGAAGGACCCUUGAUUCUCACCCCUAGUCCAGCACUUGAACCAUUGGAAGAAUUUUCCCAUCCAUGAUCUUAUUCAAUCCUCACAAAAGUUCUGCGAUGCUAAACAGGGCAAUUCCUUGAGCUAAACUUUUCUCAAUUAAAAAAAAAAAAAAGUCCUCAUCUGGAUGAGCGUGUGUUUUCAGAUUUAGUACUGAAAAGUUGAUUAGAAAGCCCAGCUUGUUGCCUGUGAGAAGAUGGUUUGGAAAGUUGUCCAUCCUUUCAAGGCCCUAAGGAGCUAGACUAAAAGUUGCCUUUGUGGAGAAAACCUCCACACUGGGAGUUCUAUUCACAACAAAAUGACUGGCCUGGGACACGUGUGGGGUGUGUGUGUGUGUGUGUGUGUGUGUAUGUUGUGGUUGUUUGAAGGAACUGUCUGUACACCAGAAAAUACAUUUGAAAUGGAUUAUCAUUGUUACCCUAAGGAUUCAUCUUACCUAUCAUUGUUCUCAUUUUACAGACUCAUUUUACAAACUCUUACCUAAAGAAGAGAAGCAUUGAUCGAAGGAAUACUGAAUUCUAGAAGCACAGGAUUGCAGAGCUGGGAAGGAUCUAGAGAUAUCGAUUUCAUCCUCUCCCUGAGCAGGAAUUUGGGGCAAAUGGUUAUCAGCCUGUGCUUGAAGACCAUAUUAGUGAACUACUAGUGAAGGCACUGCUGGCUGAGAUGAUUAAGCCAAACUUCUGAGAUCUCUCUACCAGGAGGCUUUGCAACAUUCAGAGACUUCAGUGCAAUCAGUGUGCCAUCCACCGAAAGGAGAGUCUCUCAGUCUACAGGGAAUCUUCAACUUGGAUUCUGGGCUUUAGUUUGAAUUCAGUGACUGACAUCUUUGCAAGAAUCAAGAUCGCUAUGAUUUAGUUCUCCCUGCAGUCUGUCCACUCUCUGGUCACUGGACAAGAAUCUUACAGUGAGAAGACCAGCAGCCAAGGAGAUCUGCUGUUAAACAUUUCCCGACAUAGUCCUGCGUGUCCAUAUAUUUAUCAAAUGUACAUGUGAUGCAAGUAAGGGGGAGCCCUAUUGGCUGGGAGCACCAGGAGGAGGUAGUGUCCUAGAAGGAAACUGGAGAUGCUGAGCAGCUGUGCAUUCCGGGGGCCGUCUAGUGCCAGGCACGGGGAAGGGCCCGGCCCGUGUGGGGAGCAGCAAGGCCAGAAUGCAGGCAUGAAUGCACUGAAGAUGAGAAAAGAUGAAGGGGGGGAGGGAGGGCCGGGCCAGGCAGAAGGGACAGCAGAAACAAAGGGGGGCACGGGCAGGGGACCAUCACUUCAUCACCACCUGUCCUGUCCCAGAUGCUGCUUUCGGCCCAGAGGAGUGAGAGGGAAAGGGAGCAGAGUAGGGAGAACUUUAAUCUCCAGCCUUGUCUUCCCACCUUCAAGGAGCCCGACUUCCAGAGAUGCCAGAGGCUUGGGGGAACAUUCAACGCUGUCGGUGAGUUUGAGCAGCUGAAGGCAAACCAUCGACCGUUGAGUGGACCCUGCAGCCUUAACCUGCCACCUGACGCCUGCCAGGGAGCCCAGGCCUGUGGCCCGAGCGCUAGAAUCACUGCCGAAGUACAGGGCUCUCCUCUUACACCAUUGGCCGGGUACUGUCUGGUCCCUUGUCUCAACUUUGGCCUUUAAGCCCUCAAAAGUCAUCUGUCUAUGGCAGUCUACACCACCCAGGCUAAGUCUCCAGUCCUGGGCCCCCUUCCCAACCUAGGUCAUACUGCCCACCUAAACCAAAGGUCACAAUCAACAUUCAUUGCUGUCGGUGGGUUGUAAACUGUGAGGAAAAACUCACCGAUGGAUGAAUGUCACUGUGGCUGGGCCAGACCUGGACCUGGAGAGAAGGGUUGGACAUCGCAGGAGGAAGAAGGGGCAGCAACAAACCUCGGCAGAUCCACUGGGUCAAGGAGCCCACAAGGCAAAAUGGCUUCCUGGGCUGGGAGGGAGUCGGGCGGACUCCUAGCCUUGGGCCCACUAUUAACUUACAAUGUUGUGACUUUGGGCAAACAACCUCCCCAGCUUCCUCAAUUGUUAAGUGUGGAGAGAAAUCCUUCCUUGUUCUGCUUCUCUGGUUGGUUGUCAUUAUUUUGUGAGAAAAUGGCUAUGUGAAGGCUUUGAAUGGUGUGAGGAAGGGAAUGUACACACACAAUGCCGCUCCAGCAAUGGGAGAAAGCCUGGGGUUACAACCAGAACCUGAAUUCAGACUAUAACUGUUGCUUUCUAGUCUCUCAGUUAACAAACAUUUAUUAAAGUACAGGGCUAACUGUGGAUACGAAGGAAGGCAAAACCAUGGUCCUAGUCCUCUAGGAACUUGAAUUGUAAUGGGAGGGAUACCAUGCCGACAGUUACAUUAUUAUUAUUAUUAUUUUUUAUUAUUUUUAUUUUUAUAUCUAUGUAAUGGAACUGAUGGGGAAUUUCAUGGGGCUGGGGCUAGGGAUGGAGAGUGAGCCAAAAAGCCACUUGGGAAGGUGGUGUUUGUGACAUGUAGAAGGAAGAAAGGUUAGAGAUGAGGAGGAGAAUUCCAGACUUGGGAAACUAAGGCCCUGGGGAAGUAGGUGAAAUUGUGGGGAGAACCAUGUAGCGUCGACACCAGGAAAAGUAGGUAGGAGCUAGGUAGUGAAUGUUCUCCAUCUGGAUUCUCUUCUGUAUAACGAGGGUCCUUUAUCGUCUGUAGACCUCCAGGGUAUAAUCAUUAAUAAAAAUAAAUAAUGCAAUCUUGUGGGGAUCCCACCCUUCCUGACUUAAUUCCUGACUGUGCUUAUUGAGUCUUUUUUACACCUCUUUUUGCCUCCAGCUGCUUGCUAAUUUAUUUGACACCCUUAAGUGGGGAUAAUUCUCAUCACCAAACAAAAGGAAUUCUGACUGCUUUGUUGGUCCUUAAGUACUCGGAUGGGAAAAUUGGAAGCUGAAGUCCCUGAAGCUGAGAUUAGAACCCUGCUUUCCUGCCUCUCUAGUUCAGGGGUGGGCAAGGAGAGGAGGAAUGCCCUGGGAAAGGCUGGAAUCUUAAGCAAGCUCCCCAGAGACCCUUGGGAAACGCACUCGGGCAGAGGCCUUGCUCCCUGGCAGUGGGCAUAGGGGGGAAGGCUCAGUAGGCAUCGAUCCCACGUAGGACCUGGCUGAGGGAAGAGAUUUUCCAGGCUGCGGGGCCUCCUUUCUUGCUCUGAAGCCUGUGCCCCGGAAAGGAGGAAGGGGAGAGGGGAGAUCCACUUCCUUCUCCUUCUCUGAUCUGUGGCCAUGGUAUCCCAACAGCCCCUCUGGCAGUGGGGUAGGGGGGAAGGGAGUCCUGCAGACCAUCUGAUGCCCCCCUGCAAAGCUAAGGAGAUUCAAUUCCAGGAAGGAAAUGGGAGCUUUGCAGGGGCCAAGCUCGGGUCAGAUACAGUGUAGCCGGGCCAGAGGCUGACCACCG
Sarcophilus harrisii (Tasmanian devil) is the source of this 9539-nucleotide long non-coding RNA. RefSeq lists it as uncharacterized. The record is from RefSeq and is a predicted model, not a curated record. The transcript has 5 exons. NCBI's taxonomy places the organism in Eukaryota, Metazoa, Chordata, Mammalia, Dasyuromorphia, Dasyuridae.